CAUGCCCCUGUGAAACACAUAAUCUUGUUAAUUUUUAUGGCUGCAUAGUAUUCCAUUGUGUAUACAUAUCACAUUUUCUUAAUCCAGUCUAUCAUUGGUGGGUAUUAGGUUGAUUCUAUGUUUUUGCUAUCAUGAAUAGUGCUGUAAUGAACAUUUGCAUGCAUGUGUCUUUAUAAUAGAAUGAUUUAUUAUUCCUUUGGGUAAAUACCCAGUAAUGGGUUUGAUGGAUCAAAUGAUAUUUCUAUUUUUAGGUCUCUGAAGAAUCUCCAUACCAUCUUCCACAAUUGUUGAACUAAUUUACACUUCCAGUAACAAUGUGACCAACAACACAUGGAAGCUGCCAAGGCUUGGGGUUUACACCCUCUGAAGCAAUGGCCUGAGCUGCACCUUGGACCUUUUUAGCCAAAGCUGAAGCAGCUGAGAGGCAAGGCCCCAAGUCUCAGGCUUCACACAGUAGGGGGCACCUGGACCUAGCCCAGGAAACUAUUUUUCCCUUAAUGGCAUACCCUCCCAUCACAGGCCCAGAAGCCUAGGACAUAACCUGGAGGCAUUUUCCCCUUUGUCUUGGUGAUUAGAUGCAGCACCCCCAGGGGGAACUUUGCCCCUCCCAUUUGGGCACAACCACUGAAGACUUCCUCAUCUUUGCCACAUAAAAGCCCCAGAACACAGCCCCAUUUCUGGCAACCCUCUUUGGGUCCCCUCUCUUUGCUGAGAACUUUUCUGUUGCUUAAUAAAACUUUGCUCUACAUUAUUCCUUCUCUGGUGUCUGCGUGCUUUAUUCUUCUUGGUCAUGGGACAAGAACUUAGACCUAGUUGAACUGAGGAGCGAUUAGGCUGCAACACUAAUAUCAACCAAAAAAUUAGAGAACAAAGGGCAAACAGACCUCAAAGCUAGCAGAAGACAAGAAACAACCCAAAUCAGAGCAGAUCUGAAGGAGACGGAGACACAGUAAAACUACCCUAAGAACAAUGAAUCCAGGAGGUUGUUUUUUUAAAAAAUUAAUAAAAUAGCUCACCAGCUAGACUAAUAAAGAAGAAAAGAGAAG
Molecule: long non-coding RNA, 1046 nt
Filed under: Homo sapiens (human)
Lineage: Eukaryota; Metazoa; Chordata; Mammalia; Primates; Hominidae
Description: HSALNT0078075
Source: RNAcentral